RNAcentral lists this ribosomal RNA (811 nucleotides) under uncultured bacterium. RNAcentral describes it as "bacterial SSU rRNA". It matches the Rfam family "Bacterial small subunit ribosomal RNA", at positions 1 to 812 of the family's 1533-position model. The record is from RNAcentral.
GAAUUCGCCCUUAGAGUUUGAUCCUGGCUCAGGACUAACGUUGGCGGCGUGCCUAAUACAUGCAAGUCGAACGGUCGUGCGUUUGUAGCAAUAUGGACGUACGAUAGUGGCGAACGGGUGAGUAACACGUGGAAAACCUACCCUCGAGCGGGGGAUAACUCCGGGAAACUGGGGCUAAUACCGCAUGACAUCCCAACCUGGCAUCGGGAGGGGAUCAAAGCCGAAAGGCACUUGAGGAUGGUUCCGCGGCCUAUCAGCUAGUUGGCGGGGUAACGGCCCACCAAGGCGACGACGGGUAGCCGGCCUGAGAGGGCGAUCGGCCACAAGGGGACUGAGACACGGCCCCUACUCCUACGGGAGGCAGCAGUAGGGAAUUUUGCUCAAUGGGGGAAACCCUGAAGCAGCGACGCCGCGUGGGCGACGAAAUCCUUCGGGAUGUAAAGCCCUUUUAACCGGGACGAAAUACAUGACGGUACCGGUGGAAUAAGCCUCGGCUAACUCCGUGCCAGCAGCCGCGGUAAGACGGGGGAGGCAAGCGUUGUCCGGAAUCACUGGGUGUAAAGGGCGUGUAGGCGGGCCGGCUAGUCGGUUGUUAAAUCUCUCCGCUCAACGGAGAAGCUGCGGCCGAUACUUCCGGUCUUGAGUGCGGCAGGGGAGGAUGGAAUUCCUGGUGUAGCGGUGAAAUGCGUAGAUACCAGGAGGAACACCGGUGGCGAAGGCGGUCCUCUGGGCCUGCACUGACGCUGAGUGCGCGAAAGCUGGGGUAGCAAACAGAAUUAGAUACUCUGGUAGUCCCAGCCCUAAACGAUGG